GUACUCCAUGCAGCAGCACAUGUACUACAAUUGAAAAGGUACAAGUAUGAUUAAUAUGGCCCCUGAGCAAGGAUGCCAUACACCUUUGUGAAGCAUUCCACAUUAAG
Octodon degus (degu) is the source of this 107-nucleotide small nuclear RNA. Lineage: Eukaryota; Metazoa; Chordata; Mammalia; Rodentia; Octodontidae. The record is from Ensembl.